GGGUCAGUAGGUUGGUCGUGCCACCGGUACGUACUGGUCUCACUGAUUCCUCCUUCCUGAAGAACCGUAAUGCCACUAAUUUGGUGUUGCGGGGAAACAGGACUGUUACUUUGGAAAAAUUAGAGUGUUUAAAGCAAGCUAACGCUUGAAUACAUUAGCAUGGAAUAAUGAAAUAGGACGAUCGAUCCUAUUUUGUUGGUUUCUAGGAUUGACGUA
RNAcentral lists this ribosomal RNA (216 nucleotides) under Glomeromycotina sp. RNAcentral's name for it is "partial small subunit ribosomal RNA". The stretch from base 87 to 216 matches the Rfam family "Eukaryotic small subunit ribosomal RNA", at positions 733 to 864 of the family's 1831-position model. Lineage: Eukaryota; Fungi; Glomeromycota. The record is from RNAcentral.